AUGAAAUCCAGGCAACUUCCAUUUUUGUCACGCGGGGCACCCGUAGCUUUUCAAAUACAUGUGGAGGGGAAGGAGCUCGUUUCCAUGGUUUACUCAACAAAACAAGGAUCUGGAGGGAGCGUCGCUAGUGUUACACUAACUAUUUAUUGUGAACAAUUAUUUUGCUUUCUUGGAGUUAAAAACGUCAGAGAUGACUGAAUUACACCAGGCUGCAGCUGCAGGAGAUUGUGAUCUGGUAGAAGAUAUUCUGAAAAAGGGUUUAUGUAAUCCAAAUCAUAAAGAUAUCGAUUGGGACUGCAGGACUCCUCUACACUGGGCUGCUUCCAAAGGACAAGCUGAAACAGUAAGGAUUCUGGUAGAGCAUGGGGCUCGUGCUUGCCUUAGGACUGACACUGGCUGGACUCCGGCUCAUUUUGCUGCUGAAGCAGGAAGGCUGGUGGUCCUCAGAAUGCUACACUCACUGCAUGCUCCUGUUGACAAGGAUGACUUGUUUGGUGACACACCUGCAAGAAUUGCAGCAAUAUAUGGACAUAAAGAAUGUGUUAAGUUUCUAGAAGUAGCAGAACUUGAGAGCAAGGAUUACCGGCAGAUGGCAGAGUCCAGAGGCAUUACUUUGGAUGACACGGAUGAAGAAUGGGAGCAACAGAAGAAAGACAUGGAGGAAAAUAGGUUUUCAUGUUUGGACAAAAAUGCUAAAGCAUUGGAGAAACAAAAUGAAACUACAGCAAUUGCCUCUAAAGGAAAAACCAAGUUGGAGACACAGUCAAGAAAAAAUCGAAAUAAUACAUGUAGGCCUAGACUCCAGAAACAUGGUCCAAAAGCUCAAGCUAGGAGCUAAUACACAGACUACACGUGCAGGGAUGAUUCCCAAAGUGUGUGUAUAUACCGCUUUGUAAUAAUCUAGACUUUUGACAACACUAGUCAUUUUGUAGACAUUUUGUCUGAUGUUUUUGCAAAAACGGGGACCACCAAAACAUACAAAAAAAGAAUUGAUGGAAUAGAUAUACAGUAGUUCCAGAUUUUACAAAUACUGUACACAUACACAGACACUUUCAGUUUAGCUGAUUGACAUACUGUAUCCUGUAUAAAUAUGCAUGUAUACAUAAUGUAUAUGUCUAAAUAUGGAUUUAUAGACAUACUGUAUGUGGAAUGUAGUGGCAGGGCAGUAGUGUGGAGUAGUGGUUAGGGCUCUGGACUCUUGACCGGAGGGUCAAGGGUUCAAUCCCCGGUCGGGGACACUGCUGUUGUACCCUUGCGCAAGGUACUUUACCUAGAUUGCUCCAGUAAAAACCCAACUGUAUAAAUGGGUAAUUGUAUGUAAAAAUAAUGUGAUAUCUUCUAACAAUUGUAAGUCGCCCUGGAUAAGGGCGUCUGCUAAGAAAUAAAUAAUAAUAAUAAUAAUAAUGUUAUCAGAAAUAAGAAAAUUGCCUACUUUGUGGCCCAUGCAAUAAAGAUGUACCGUAUUAAAUGUGUCAUGCAAGUACUGUACUUACUGUUAAAUUUUGUGCAUUUUGCAAAUACUGUAGUGGCUGUUCAAUUUUGUGAGUGAGCUUUUACUGUUAUGCAAGUACUGUAUGUUAUGCGUCAUUAUUUUUAGUUGCAGCUCUUGUCAUGAAACACAGCGUAAAACAUUUUAUUUCAAAUGGUGAUAAAGAGGGAGUCUUAAGAACUUAUGUUCUGGUUAUCUGUUUGUAUUUUUUUUCUUGUUUUUGAACAAAUGAACAAAAAUCCAUCCAGAAAGCAAGUAUAUACGUGCAAACUGUUUAUAUUUAUGACCAUGCCGAAACUGCAACUUUAUUACGCAGCGGCCACAACUACUUGAUAAAAAAAUCACGAUUUUCUUACAGCCUUAUAUAUAUGUAUGUAUGUAUGUGUAAUAUAUUGAUAAUCUUUGUUUACACUAAUCAUUGUGGUCCAGUGGUUAAAGAAAAGGGCUUGUAACCAGGAGGUCCCCGGUUCAAAUCCCACCUCAGCCACUGACUCAUUGUGUGACCCUGAGCAAGUUGCUUAACCUCCUUGUGCUCCGCCUUUCGGAUGAGACGUAAUUUAACUGGACAAGAAAAAUGAGAAAUCAAUGCAAGCAGGUGAGUAGGAACUGACAUAUACUGAACUUUCCAUAAUAUAAAAUAGAAUUUAAGGGUAUUAGGCCGGUAAAGUCAACAAAGUAGGAUGUUUCCCCAAAGAAACAGGCAUUUUCCAAAGUAUUUAGCACAUUUUAGUUCUUUUUAAAUCAUAUGGUUGGCGGUUAAAACAUUCAGUUCCCUUGUUAAGAUUAUUGCUGGAUCAUGCUACUCUGUAAUGAAAGAUAGACGGAUAAAAUUGACAUUUGACCCUUGUAACCCUGUUUUGUUAAGCACACUCUAAAACAGAGUUCCAGCACACACAGAGUUAAUCACGUGCAUACAACGUGCAGGGAACAGGUGACCUAACUGAAAAAAGUAAAUGUAUCUUUUUAGAGGCACUAGAGAGAAGCUUCUAGAAAAACUGACAAAAAAGACAAAGUAAAUUGCAAGCAACAGAGCAAGUCAUUAGAGCAAUAUAUAGUGCUUUUAUUUUUUUUAGAAAUAAAUAAAUAAAAAGCAAGCAGAGUGUAAACAAUAGAAAAUACGUUUUACUUAUUUUUGGUAAAUAGAGAAAGAAAUCGCAAGCAACAGCAAGUUGUUAGGAUUUAUUUUGCAAACAAUAUAGUGUACCUAUGUAUAUAUAUAGUUUAAAGGAAUCCUUGAACUUUGGGAAAAGAGCUGAAGAACUUCAACGCUUUAGGGACUGAGAUCUGUGAUUUUCUGGUGAGUUAUAAUAUAUUAAAAAAUAACUUAAGAAAAACGGUAUUUUUGUUUAUUAUUGUUCUGCAAUACUGUAUAAAACCAACCAGAAUUUAUUUGUGUUAUGUGCUUUUGAACAGUAAUGGUAAACAGAAUGUGUACUAUGAUAUAUUUUAUUUUUGUAUUAUUUUAAAUGCAAUCCUUAUGUGUGUUUUGGUUAAAUUGAAAGAAAGUGAAGCUUACGAUUCUGACAGAUAGUAAGGAAAAAAACCCUGUAAAUUAAAUGUAAACACAUUGAAAUUGUGUUUAUAAAGAGAUGCUGUAGAAAUCAUUUAAGUUAAAAGAAAGAUAAAUAUAACUACGCAGUUGCAAAAGAAAUUAAAACAAAGGCAGAGGAAUACAGAAUUUGUGAAAUGCUGUAUACUUUUAUUUCUGUUUUAGACAAAAGGUUUAUAUAAACGCACAUUUCUUUUUUGUUGAUAGUAUACUGGAAAAUUAAACUGAAAGAAAAAUACACUAUGAAUAAUCUGCAAUGUUAAAAGAAAAAAACGAUUGUUUAACUGUAUAUCGAGUGAAAAUUAUUUAGACCUGCAUAAUGAUGUGUGUUCCAAUAUGUAGGUUGGUUUUUUUGGGGGGAAACGUUUCUUUGACCGAGAAGCCAUCACCAUUCCUUCUUACCAGGACUGAUGAUAUUGUAACAGCUAUUCAGCAGCAACGUUAUCCACAGCUGUGAACCAACUCUCUGCAACGACUUCAUUUCAAUUAUUUUAUUGGCCUAAGGAUUGAACUGAGUGGUAGGAUAAACCUAACUGGGUAGAUAAAUGAAUGGACGGUGAACUGUGGAUUGUGCUUAUUUGUGCUGUAUCAAUUGGUGAUGUGCAUGAUGAUUUAAUAUUGUUACUGUUUUUAUUUUCUUUAAGAAAAAAAGAUAAAUGUCAUAUGCAAGAACAGUAAUUACACUUGUUGUCAAAUUAUUUCUUUAGAUUACCGGUAUGUUACUAUUGUGCAAAUCAAUGAAACCAGUCUCCCAACGAACCUAACGGUAACCUGGAAGUAUAUUUCACUAAAGUAGGGUUACACCCUCAUGAUUGUUGUGGAUUUUAAUGGGGUUUUUAUGUUCAUAAUGACUGGUCUUGUGUACACUAGCAUAAAGUAUUUUGUCAAAAUGUUGUUGUUGUUUUUUUUAACAAGAUUUAAACUAGGUCAACUAGAAUAACAAAUGUGGAUUGCUCCAGUGGUUACAUUAUCUGUGCAGGGAUCUCCACACACCAACCCCUAUAUAAGAAAGAAAAAAAGAAAAUGCACAUUGGUAAGUAGAGUAGAUUGCUUCAAGCAGCUGUAUUUAAAACAAGGUUCAAUAUGUGGAUUCUGUGGAUGGCCUUUACUUUGUG
RNA transcript from Acipenser ruthenus (sterlet), 4153 nucleotides. It is a transcript of the gene named ankyrin repeat domain-containing protein 66, with no coding region annotated. The transcript is spliced from 5 exons. Lineage: Eukaryota; Metazoa; Chordata; Actinopteri; Acipenseriformes; Acipenseridae. The record is from RefSeq and is a predicted model, not a curated record.